GAUCCUGGCUCGGGAUGAACGCUAGCUACAGGCUUAACACAUGCAAGUCGAGGGGCAGCAUGGUCUUAGCCUGCUAAGGCCGAUGGCGACCGGCGCACGGGUGAGUAACACGUAUCCAACCUGCCGUCUACUCUUGGACAGCCUUCUGAAAGGAAGAUUAAUACAAGAUGGCAUCAUGAGUCCGCAUGUUCACAUGAAUUAAAGGUAUUCCGGUAGACGAGUGGGAUGUCCG
This 232-nucleotide ribosomal RNA is filed under the name uncultured bacterium. RNAcentral describes it as "partial 16S ribosomal RNA". It matches the Rfam family "Bacterial small subunit ribosomal RNA", at positions 15 to 239 of the family's 1533-position model. The record is from RNAcentral.